RNAcentral lists this ribosomal RNA (254 nucleotides) under uncultured bacterium. RNAcentral's name for it is "partial 16S ribosomal RNA". It matches the Rfam family "Bacterial small subunit ribosomal RNA", at positions 524 to 776 of the family's 1533-position model. The record is from RNAcentral.
UACGUAGGGGGCGAGCGUUGUCCGGAUUUAUUGGGCGUAAAGAGCUCGUAGGCGGUUUGGCAAGUCGGGUGUGAAAACUCCGGGCUCAACUCGGAGACGCCACUCGAUACUGCUAUGACUUGAGUCCGGUAGGGGAGUGCGGAAUUCCUGGUGUAGCGGUGAAAUGCGCAGAUAUCAGGAGGAACACCGGUGGCGAAGGCGGCACUCUGGGCCGGUACUGACGCUGAGGCGCGAAAGCGUGGGGAGCGAACAGG